This 447-nucleotide ribosomal RNA is filed under the name uncultured Rhodocyclaceae bacterium. RNAcentral describes it as "bacterial SSU rRNA". It matches the Rfam family "Bacterial small subunit ribosomal RNA", at positions 933 to 1382 of the family's 1533-position model. Lineage: Bacteria; Pseudomonadati; Pseudomonadota; Betaproteobacteria; Rhodocyclales; Rhodocyclaceae. The record is from RNAcentral.
UGGAUGAUGUGGAUUAAUUCGAUGCAACGCGAAAGCCUUACUACCCUUGACAUGUCCGGAAUCCCGAAGAGGUUGGAGUGCUCGUAAGAGAGCCGGAACACAGGUGCUGCAUGGCUGUCGUCAGCUCGUGUCGUGAGAUGUUGGGUUAAGUCCCGCAACGAGCGCAACCCUUGUCAUUAGUUGCCAUCAUUUGGUUGGGCACUCUAAUGAGACUGCCGGUGACAAACCGGAGGAAGGUGGGGAUGACGUCAAGUCCUCAUGGCCCUUAUGGGUAGGGCUUCACACGUCAUACAAUGGUCGGUACAGAGGGUUGCCAACCCGCGAGGGGGAGCUAAUCCCACAAAGCCGAUCGUAGUCCGGAUCGCAGUCUGCAACUCGACUGCGUGAAGUCGGAGUCGCUAGUAAUCGCAGAUCAGCAACGCUGCGGUGAAUACGUUCCCGGGCCUU